Long non-coding RNA from Lolium rigidum, 3515 nucleotides. RefSeq lists it as uncharacterized. Lineage: Eukaryota; Viridiplantae; Streptophyta; Magnoliopsida; Poales; Poaceae. The transcript has 4 exons. The record is from RefSeq and is a predicted model, not a curated record.
CUCGCAGGUCAUCCCCACUCUCCACCCACCCCGCGUGGGUGUACCCCGCCGAAGUUGUACUCCUCCAUGUCUCGCAUGGCCGGAGUAGUAGCACCAGAGGAAAUCGGCAGGGAAGGAGCGCCUCUGACGGAGAUAUGCAGGCAGGUUAUUGGAUUUUGGUCGCCCUCUCUGCUCCCUCGGGAGGAUGUGUGCCAGCUGACCGUAUUAACCUGUUCAGAGACCGACUGAAAGAAGAUUCAGUUUACACCUUUGAAAUGUUCAUCGUCCCUAAUCGCACGGAGGUACAAAGUAACUGAUCAUCCGUAUAGAAUUAGGAUUACUCAGCUCACAAAGAUAGAGGAGAUUACUUCAGAGUCUGAAAGUUUCCAAAUAGGAAACAAUACACUCUUAUCAGACGUUGGCUUGCUGACAAUGCAGACAGAUAUUAUUCCAUCAAGGACAUGUCAAGACUCAAGGAGAAAUAUUUACCUCAAAGAUGCAAGGUAUAAUUUCACCACCUAUGCCAGCAAAUGAUUUCAGCACCUAUGCCAGCAAUUUUUAAAUUUAUUGAGAGUUAACUAGACUAAUAUUGUGUAAUUACUGUAAGUGGUGAACAAGCUAUCGUCACCUUAUGGGGAGAACACGCAGAAGCUUUUGAUGCUGCCUUGCUGCACGAGUCAUCUUUUCAAGACAGUAUUGUUGUACUUUUUGUUGGCAUGGCCAUUGCCCAGUAUUUAGGUACGUCGCUUCAUAUGACCAUGAAGGCAAUAUUCAUCAAUUGAAUCCAUACUUAUCAAGCUACUACAGUGUGGAUACUAUCACAGGAAAGUUGGCCUUCAAGAGCACAUCCCAAACUCGCUGGCAUGUCAAUAUACCAAUUCCAGAAAUGUCAGACAUACGGAAAAGAUAAAGUUGGCAAGGUUCAGCAAAUGCAAGAGCUGAGCCAACCGAGACAACGCUUUAUGAUCUGGCUAAGAAACCAAGAGAUGACAAUGUGGUACGUACUCGCGUGUCACCUGAAAAAACCAUCAGAAACAGCUAACUCAAGUAUAUUAGUUCUCAGGCCGCGCACCGUCUCAACCAUUGGCAAAAUAAUUAAUCCCUGACUGCACUUACCCGGUAAGCUCGCAGGUGUCCCUUAAACUCUUCCGCUAUCGUUGCGUGAUUGUAUCUUUUCAAUAAUUUGUUCUCACUACAUUGUUUCGUAGGUUCUAUUCCUAGCACUGAAGACAUUAAACAGAUCAAUGAGGUUGUGAAUGGCUUGCAUUAUUUUUUUGGCGUUUGCUAAAUCAGGAUCUAGAGUUAUAGAUCAUCUCCUUUCAGUAUGAACUCCUGAAUAUUGAUAAUACCAUAGUUUUUCGUUAACUUUGUGCUUAUUAAUCACACCUUCGAGCAGAUAGGAGAUGAUGCAGCUCUAGGCACACUCCCCAGUACUACUUUUUUCAGUCUUCCCUUUGUCCUGGGCGUGAAAGAAAUCCUUCCCAGCAUGUAUUUCCAUACAUGUAUUGCUAAGUAAGUACUCAAAUUGUUAGUUAUGUUUUGCAGGUUCAAAUAAGUACCCGCCCAAUGAUAUUAAACAUCGUUAUUUACCAUUUCAAGAUUAUUAAAGAUUAGUUCAGCACAUAUGGGUUACCAUUCAUCUUCAUUUUUAAUUAGCAAAAGCUUAUUGGAAAACGAUAACCUUGGAGACUUCCAUAUUUUCUUGAUUGGAAUUUGUUAACUCGAUAUCUUAGUGUAUGUUCUGUACGCCAAGUUGGUUUUCUACACUGAUCCAUAAUCUGUUACCAAAUGUAAUAUUUGGAACAUAUGUAGCUAGAAAUAAAUUCAUACAUUUGAAUAUCCAAACAUGGUUUUAUCAACCUAUGAUGUUGUACAAUUGUGUUAAGUCUUCGAGACUGUGAUUUUUACCUGCUGAUGUGAACCUUAAAUGCGUUCUUUUUUGUAUAAACUUCGGUCUUCAAAUUUCUACUGGCAAAUGCAUGUUAAUUUAAAAAAAGAGCAAACAAUGUGACUUUUUGCAAGAAUAUUUGUGCUGUUGCAAGGAAAUAGUUAUGUUAAUUCUGGGAAAACCAACAUGUGGCCAUCUGUUCCACACAAAGAGUUCUUUAAAAAGGAAGCAAAUGACCCUUAAUGUGGUAGCCUUUUGUCUGAUACACAAGUCUUUCAAGUAAAGGAUAUAUUCGUAAGUCGUAUCUGGCCUGCUGAUUGGUCGUGUUUGACUAUUUAUUCCCUUGCCUAAUAAUUUAAUUAUUUCUGCAGGGGGCACAAUAUUUUUGUUGCGAUGUUGCUAAUGAAUGAUGUUCCUCUCUUUCUCAUCCAUGGACAUCUUGGCUUUUACUAUUUUUUUUUGCCUAUCGGUCGAUCUUGCGAAUUAAGUUUCCAGCUACUUCUAUCUUCUGUAUGUGUGCUGAUUUCUGCAACAAUGUAUUUAAUGUGUGAAGAUAAUGCGGUGACAAUGGUUGUUGCAAGGGUUGUCAUAAGUAUUUGCUACCAAUCUUUAGAUAAAUUUUAUAUGAUUUUUAAGACGUGCUAGCUCACAUGUUAUACAUUCUGACAUGUCCAAUAGUUAUGUCCAUUUAAUUGGUAAUACAUUUGAUUGGCCCUUCAUGUCUCCUUCCGGUCACGGUACAGGCGUGGCGUGCCGCCGCGCCAAAGCUUUUAGAUUGGUGCCACAAACUAUUCUUUAUUUUUCUUUACAUUUGAUCUGAUAAAAAUCAGAAAGAUCAACAAUGGUGUGAUUAUGUUUGAUUUCCAAACAAAAAAUCCUAAAAUGGUGAGAUUUAGUAAAAAGGUGGAACUUCAAAGCUCUCCUUUUUAUUGCUAUAUUUUCUUAAGUAAAUCAUAAAAUAGAACAAGACACAACAAAACUGUUGUGCCGAAUGAGCACUAAAGAGCAGCCUUAACUUAAAGCCCCUCUAUUCCGUAUACAAAUUUUAGAUAUAACCUUACAGUGUGAAUUACAGAAUGUUGCCACAGUCUACUGCUUGACUCAAAUGUCUGAUGUGCCACAGUCUGUUGACUUUUGAUGGACACAUGGAAUGGCCUGAUUUAGAAAGUUCAGCAUCAAUAUGAUUAUUCGGUAAGAUAAAUAUGUUUGAAUACAAAAGGUUGGAUUGGCUAAAAAAAUAGAAAAAAUCUGUUUCUCACCAGCAUAUAUGCUUGAAUUGGUAAGUGUCCUAUGCAUAUCUCUUUCCUUCAUAAAUAUUCUUGCUACAGGUUUUGUGUGAAACCGUGUUGUUCUCUUGGUCUAUGAACCUGCCGUGUUAGGUGCUUUGAGAUUUUAGUCCCCAUAUAUGUAUUCCACACUCUCAGUUAUGUCUUGCUUUCUCUAACAAUGGUUCUACAGACAUAGUUUCAGGCAGAUAGCAUUAUUGAAGCAUGUUUUCGUACAAAAAGUUAAACAAAUAAUCGAUGUGCUAUUUUCUUCUUAGUAUCUAAUUCUUCCAAUUUUCUUGCUUUCCGAUGACUAAUUUAGGGUUUGUUUCCUGCUUCUUUUUUUAAGAACAAACCAUGCUUUUACUUUUCUUUUGGUCAUA